GACGAACGCUGGCGGCGUGCCUAAUACAUGCAAGUCGAACGCAGUGGGGACGGGGGAGUAACACGUGGGUAACCUCCCAUCAGAAGGGAUAACACUUGGAAACAGGUGCUAAACCGAUACUGAUGGAUGGACCCGUGGUGCCUUAGCUAGUUGGUGAGGUAACGGCUUACCAAGGCCACGAUGCAUAGCGGCCCGAGGAGGGGAAUCGGCCCAGCGGGAACUGAGACACGGCCAAGAGUCCUACGGAGGGCAGCAGUAGGGAAUCUUCGGAAAUGGACGAAAGUCUGACCGGGCAACGCCGCUUGGGUGAAAAAGGUUUUCGGAUCGUAAAACUCUGUUGUUAGAGAAGCGGUAUCUAACCAGAAAGCCACGGCUAACUACGUGCCAGCAGCCGCGGUAAUUC
Molecule: ribosomal RNA, 403 nt
Filed under: uncultured bacterium
Lineage: Bacteria
Description: partial 16S ribosomal RNA
Rfam family: Bacterial small subunit ribosomal RNA
Source: RNAcentral